This 116-nucleotide non-coding RNA is filed under the name Aeribacillus pallidus. RNAcentral describes it as "TPP sequence". It matches the Rfam family "TPP riboswitch aptamer (THI element)". Rfam says of the family: Vitamin B(1) in its active form thiamin pyrophosphate (TPP) is an essential coenzyme that is synthesised by coupling of pyrimidine and thiazole moieties in bacteria. Lineage: Bacteria; Bacillati; Bacillota; Bacilli; Caryophanales; Bacillaceae. The record is from Rfam by way of RNAcentral.
ACCAUCUACUAGGGGUGUCCAAUUAGCUGGACUGAGAGAAGAACGCGCCUGAAGUUCUUCAACCCUUUGAACCUGAUCUGGAUGAUGCCAGCGUAGGGAAGUAGGUAGCGGGAGUA